UACGGAGGGUGCGAGCGUUGUCCGGAAUCACUGGGCGUAAAGGGCGCGUAGGCGGCCUGAUAAGUAGGGGGUGAAAUCCUGCGGCUUAACCGCAGGGCUGCCUUCUAAACUGUCAGGCUAGAGCACGGUAGAGGCAGAUGGAAUUCCCGGUGUAGCGGUGGAAUGCGUAGAGAUCGGCAGGAACACCCAGGGGGAAACCAGUGGACUGGCACGGUGCUGACGCUCAGGUGCGAAAGCGUGGGGAGCGAACCGG
RNAcentral lists this ribosomal RNA (253 nucleotides) under uncultured bacterium. RNAcentral's name for it is "partial 16S ribosomal RNA". It matches the Rfam family "Bacterial small subunit ribosomal RNA", at positions 524 to 776 of the family's 1533-position model. The record is from RNAcentral.